RNAcentral lists this ribosomal RNA (279 nucleotides) under uncultured bacterium. RNAcentral describes it as "partial 16S ribosomal RNA". It matches the Rfam family "Bacterial small subunit ribosomal RNA", at positions 506 to 784 of the family's 1533-position model. The record is from RNAcentral.
UGCCAGCAGCCGCGGUAAUACGAAGGGACCUAGCGUAGUUCGGGAUUACUGGGCUUAAAGAGUUCGUAGGUGGUUGAAAUAGUUGGUGGUGAAAUCCCAGAGCUUAACUCUGGAACUGCCAUCAAAACUUUUCAGCUAGAGUAUGAUAGAGGAAAGCAGAAUUUCUAGUGUAGAGGUGAAAUUGGUAGAUAUUAGAAAGAAUACCAAUUGCGAAGGCAGCUUUCUGGAUCAUUACUGACACUGAUGAACGAAAGCAUGGGUAGCGAAGAGGAUUAGAUA